AGACCCAACAUGUCACAAGUUGUGAUGCUCAACAGCAACUCUGUUUCUCUCCAAGCUCCUUACCAGACCAGCAUUUUGCAUUGGAAAGAGUAGCAUGGGCUCAUAUGCUUCAGGCAAGGCAAUACUGAUGUCACCAAAUGAGCUGUCAAUUUCAAAACUUGAACCUAGGUAGAUAUAAGAAGCUAAGAAGAAGAAGGUUGAUGAAUAUCUUGAAUAAUUAUUCUUCUUCGAGAAAACUUUAGACUUUAUAUUAUGGAUGUUACACUUGUAUUUUUGCUCAACCCUCAGAAAUGUUAGAAGAACAAUGUGUAUGCCUGAUGUCUACCCAUUCUUAUAAGAAAAUCUAUUGCUUGAUUUCUUUUGCUAUGUUUACUUACAAAGGACUAUGAUCCAAUCAUCGUCCCAGCAAUCCAGGGCCUUGGGAUGAG
RNAcentral lists this long non-coding RNA (428 nucleotides) under Phoenix dactylifera (date palm). Its description in RNAcentral is "long non-coding RNA (PDAC_LNC014303)". Lineage: Eukaryota; Viridiplantae; Streptophyta; Magnoliopsida; Arecales; Arecaceae. The record is from RNAcentral.